AGUGAACGCUGGCGGUAGGCCUAACACAUGCAAGUCGAACGGCAGCACAGUAAGAGCUUGCUCUUACGGGUGGCGAGUGGCGGACGGGUGAGGAAUACAUCGGAAUCUACUUUUUCGUGGGGGAUAACGUAGGGAAACUUACGCUAAUACCGCAUACGACCUACGGGUGACAGCAGGGGAUCUUCGGACCUUGCGCGAUUGAAUGAGCCGAUGUCGGAUUAGUUAGUUGGCGGGGUAAAGGCCCACCAAGGCGACGAUCCGUAGCUGGUCUGAGAGGAUGAGCAGCCACACUGGAACUGAGACACGGUCCAGACUCCUACGGGAGGCAGCAGUGGGGAAUAUUGGACAAUGGGCGCAAGCCUGAUCCAGCCAUACCGCGUGGGUGAAGAAGGCCUUCGGGUUGUAAAGCCCUUUUGUUGGGAAAGAAAAGCAGCAGGUUAAGACCCCGCUGUUCUGACGGUACCCAAAGAAUAAGCACCGGCUAACUUCGUG
This 492-nucleotide ribosomal RNA is filed under the name uncultured bacterium. RNAcentral's name for it is "partial 16S ribosomal RNA". It matches the Rfam family "Bacterial small subunit ribosomal RNA", at positions 29 to 507 of the family's 1533-position model. The record is from RNAcentral.